GACGAACGCUGGCGGCGUGCUUAACACAUGCAAGUCGAACGGAAAGGCCCUGCUUUUGUGGGGUGCUCGAGUGGCGAACGGGUGAGUAACACGUGAGUAACCUGCCCUUGACUUUGGGAUAACUUCAGGAAACUGGGGCUAAUACCGGAUAGGAGCUCUUGCUGCAUGGUGGGGGUUGGAAAGUUUCGGCGGUUGGGGCUGGUCUCGCGGCUUAUCAGCUUGUUGGUGGGGUAGUGGCUUACCAAGGCUUUGACGGGUAGCCGGCCUGAGAGGGGGGCCGGCCACAUUGGGACUGAGAUACGGCCCAGACUCCUACGGGAGGCAGCGGUGGGGAAUAUGGCACAGUGGGCGGGAGCCUGAUGCGGCGGCGCCGCGUGCGGAAUGACGGCCUUCGGGUUGAAAACCGCUUUCGCCUUAGACGAAGCGUGAGUGACGGUAAUGGGUAAAGAAGCACCGGCUAACUACGUG
Molecule: ribosomal RNA, 468 nt
Filed under: uncultured bacterium
Lineage: Bacteria
Description: partial 16S ribosomal RNA
Rfam family: Bacterial small subunit ribosomal RNA
Source: RNAcentral